Molecule: ribosomal RNA, 493 nt
Filed under: uncultured Thermomicrobium sp.
Lineage: Bacteria; Pseudomonadati; Thermomicrobiota; Thermomicrobia; Thermomicrobiales; Thermomicrobiaceae
Description: bacterial SSU rRNA
Rfam family: Bacterial small subunit ribosomal RNA
Source: RNAcentral
CGGGUAGCCGGCCUGAGAGGGUGGCCGGCCACAGUGGGACUGAGACACGGCCCAGACUCCUACGGGAGGCAGCAGUUGGGAAUCUUGGGCAAUGGGCGCAAGCCUGACCCAGCGACGCCGCGUGGGGGAUGAAGGCCUUCGGGUUGUAAACCCCUGUCAGGAGGGACGAAGCCCACUCCUCGAGGGUGGGUGACGGUACCUCCAGAGGAAGCCCCGGCUAACUACGUGCCAGCAGCCGCGGUAANACGUAGGGGGCGAGCGUUGCCCGGAUUUACUGGGCGUAAAGCGGGUGUAGGCGGCCGGGUAAGUCCCGUGUGAAAGCCCACGGCUCAACCGUGGGACGUCGCGGGAAACUGCUCGGCUUGAGGGCAGCAGAGGGUGGUGGAAUUCCCGGUGUAGCGGUGAAAUGCGUAGAGAUCGGGAGGAACGCCAGUGGCGAAGGCGGCCACCUGGGCUGUCCCUGACGCUCAGACCCGAAAGCUGGGACGAACCC